Molecule: long non-coding RNA, 296 nt
Organism: Myotis brandtii (Brandt's bat)
Lineage: Eukaryota; Metazoa; Chordata; Mammalia; Chiroptera; Vespertilionidae
Exons: 2
Source: RefSeq, a predicted model, not a curated record
CAUGUAGUGGGAGGGAUCAACACAGGAAAGAUGGCGCCAACAGGCGGGCCACAGGACGGCUCCACACAGGGACAAUGGCAGCUGUCCCUCAAUCUCUUGUCCUGAAGCCACACAACUCAGUCUCUGGUGCCUGCUGAGCCAUCGUUUCUCUGCCAGAGCCCAAGGUCCUGGUAAGAAGUAACAGCAGAGAAUUUGAGGAUAUAUUCUUGGUCAAGAAUCUGAAGAAUAGAUAUUGUAUAUUGCUAAUAAAUGGUGCUGCUAAGAGCUUUGAUGAACCAGAAUAUAUGACACCAUAA